RNAcentral lists this ribosomal RNA (168 nucleotides) under uncultured bacterium. RNAcentral's name for it is "partial 16S ribosomal RNA". It matches the Rfam family "Bacterial small subunit ribosomal RNA", at positions 1334 to 1500 of the family's 1533-position model. The record is from RNAcentral.
GCUAGUAAUCGUGGAUCAGCAUGCCACGGUGAAUACGUUCCCGGGUCUUGUACACACCGCCCGUCACACCAUGGGAGGUCGGUAACACCCGAAGCCAGUAGUCUAACCGCAAGGAGGACGCUGCCGAAGGUGGGAUUGACGACUGGGGUGAAGUCGUAACAAGGUACC